RNAcentral lists this ribosomal RNA (450 nucleotides) under uncultured bacterium. RNAcentral's name for it is "SSU rRNA". It matches the Rfam family "Bacterial small subunit ribosomal RNA", at positions 26 to 518 of the family's 1533-position model. The record is from RNAcentral.
AGAGCGAACGCUGGCGGCAGGCUUAACACAUGCAAGUCGAGCGGGCGUAGCAAUACGUCAGCGGCAGACGGGUGAGUAACGCGUGGGAACGUACCUUUUGGUUCGGAACAACACAGGGAAACUUGUGCUAAUACCGGAUAAGCCCUUACGGGGAAAGAUUUAUCGCCGAAAGAUCGGCCCGCGUCUGAUUAGCUAGUUGGUGAGGUAAUGGCUCACCAAGGCGACGAUCAGUAGCUGGUCUGAGAGGAUGAUCAGCCACAUUGGGACUGAGACACGGCCCAAAACUCCUACGGGAGGCAGCAGUGGGGAAUAUUGGACAAUGGGCGCAAGCCUGAUCCAGCCAUGCCGCGUGAGUGAUGAAGGCCCUAGGGUUGUAAAGCUCGUUUUGUGUCGGGAAGAUAAUGACGGUACCGCAAGAAUAAGCCCGGCUAACUUCGUGCCAGCAGCCGC